AGUCGAACGAUGAUGCCCAGCUUGCUGGGCGGAUUAGUGGCGAACGGGUGAGUAAUACGUGAGUAACCUGCCCUUGACUCUGGGAUAAGCCUGGGAAACUGGGUCUAAUACUGGAUACUACCGUCCACCGCAUGGUGGGUGGUGGAAAGGGUUUUACUGGUUUUGGAUGGGCUCACGGCCUAUCAGCUUGUUGGUGGGGUAAUGGCUCACCAAGGCGACGACGGGUAGCCGGCCUGAGAGGGUGACCGGCCACACUGGGACUGAGACACGGCCCAGACUCCUACGGGAGGCAGCAGUGGGGAAUAUUGCACAAUGGGCGGAAGCCUGAUGCAGCGACGCCGCGUGAGGGAUGACGGCCUUCGGGUUGUAAACCUCUUUCAGUAGGGAAGAAGCGAAAGUGACGGUACCUGCAGAAGAAGCGCCGGCUAACUACGUGCCAGCAGCCGCGGUAAUACGUAGGGCGCAAGCGUUGUCCGGAAUUGUUGGGCGUAAAGAGCUCGUAGGCGGUUUGUCGCGUCUGCUGUGAAAGCCCGGGGCUCAACCCCGGGUCUGCAGUGGGUACGGGCAGACUAGAGUGCAGUAGGGGAGACUGGAAUUCCUGGUGUAGCGGUGAAAUGCGCAGAUAUCAGAGGAACACCGAUGGCGAAGGCAGGUCUCUGGGCUGUUACUGACGCUGAGGAGCGAAAGCAUGGGGAGCGAACAGGAUUAGAUACCCUGGUAGUCCAUGCCGUAAACGUUGGGCACUAGGUGUGGGGGACAUUCCACGUUUUCCGCGCCGUAGCUAACGCAUUAAGUGCCCCGCCUGGGGAGUACGGCCGCAAGGCUAAAACUCAAAGGAAUUGACGGGGGCCCGCACAAGCGGCGGAGCAUGCGGAUUAAUUCGAUGCAACGCGAAGAACCUUACCAAGGCUUGACAUUCACCGGACCGCCCCAGAGAUGGGGUUUCCCUUCGGGGCUGGUGGACAGGUGGUGCAUGGUUGUCGUCAGCUCGUGUCGUGAGAUGUUGGGUUAAGUCCCGCAACGAGCGCAACCCUCGUUCUAUGUUGCCAGCACGUGAUGGUGGGGACUCAUAGGAGACUGCCGGGGUCAACUCGGAGGAAGGUGGGGAUGACGUCAAAUCAUCAUGCCCCUUAUGUCUUGGGCUUCACGCAUGCUACAAUGGCCGGUACAAAGGGUUGCGAUACUGUGAGGUGGAGCUAAUCCCAAAAAGCCGGUCUCAGUUCGGAUUGAGGUCUGCAACUCGACCUCAUGAAGUCGGAGUCGCUAGUAAUCGCAGAUCAGCAACGCUGCGGUGAAUACGUUCCCGGGCCUUGUACACACCGCCCGUCAAGUCACGAAAGUUGGUAACACCCGAAGCCGGUGGCCUAACCC
Molecule: ribosomal RNA, 1371 nt
Filed under: Kocuria sp. MDB1-D
Lineage: Bacteria; Bacillati; Actinomycetota; Actinomycetes; Micrococcales; Micrococcaceae
Description: 16S ribosomal RNA
Rfam family: Bacterial small subunit ribosomal RNA
Source: RNAcentral